AAGUAAGAAAAUGUCCAUGCCAGAUGUGAGUGACAUAUGGUGUCAUGUGCAGCAAGUAAACAGGAAACAAUAUUCAAGGUCAGAGGUCAUCUGAACCCUGUGGUGUGCGGAUAUUGGCACCCAUCCCCUCCAGGCGUUCAUUUUAUGGAGUCAUCAUCGCCAUCGAUUUUACUGUCUUGUUUACUGCCCCGCACCAAAUGAGGACGUGUGGAAAUGGAUUCUGUUCUGCUCAGGAAGAGAAAAGGAAUCACUAAUGAAAUGGACUGGUUAAUAUAAACAUAUAAAACCAUAUAAUAAUGAUAGUAAUUAUUGUACACAUUGUAAAUGUAUCAUCUUUGUUUUUGUCUUUGUCUAAUAGUAAAUGGGUAAUCUCCACAUUUUCACUUGAGAAUGCUGGCUGUUUAUAAAAAAUAAAAAAAAGCAUGCAAAUGGCCCAGAAAAAGGGGCCAUUUAUUCACAAACCCAAUAAGUAAGAAUAUCUAUUGGCCAAACCAAUUACAGUUAUCUCUAGUUGUAUUUGUGUCUCCAGUUCUCCAAAACGUUCUUCAUUCAUGGAAACUGCCAGGUGUAGUAUGUGCAUGAUGCUGGUUUUGGUUCUCUGCUGCUAAUUGAAUUCAGAACAAGGAGAAGACUGUCAAUUAACUCAGUUUCAGGCAGCUUGACCAGUCAUGGCACUUCUCGAAACAGUGGAACAGAACCAUGAAACAUCUGCACAUCAGACAUGCUGUACGGAAAGAAGAGGACAGGCGGACGGGGAGAUCAGAGGAGGAUUGAGAGAAUGAAAUGCAGAUUGGAGGUAAAAGAGAAAGAGUAUCGGGAGGGCAGCUCUGUCAGCACACAGACAUACUGGACCUGUCCGAAGCUUUAAUGUUUGUUCGUUUGGGUGCAAUUAGGAAGGCCUAGUGAUACCUCACCAGCAGGAAAGUGACUUAUUUCUUAGUCUGAGAGCUUCCCCAACCAGUGGACUUUACAGCAGGUCGAAUCAGCCAUUACUAGACAACACCAUCGACUCAUAUCAGACGCAGAACAGGUGAUUAACGUCAGAGCUCUAGAACUGACCUCACACCCUUCCACAUAUUCACUGCUCAUUCACCUCUGGACAGUAAUUGGAGAAAAUGUCUAUCACUCGUAGCAUCUUUUCUUAUUGUGCGUGCUCGCAAUCCACAGCUAACCGAAAUGAGUGAAAUGACUGGAGAAUGUGGAGAGCUGUGGCCACCUGAUGUGAUCGGUUGAGCAAGCUUUUCUUGAGAUUAUAUGAUACUGACACUGAUGCAUUGUUGACUUAGGAAUAAUUACCAUAAAAUUAAUGAAAACAGCUGGGCAAAGCACAAUAAGCAUUUUGUUACUUGUAUGUUAAUGUUAUACAAAUUGUCUGUAAUUCUGUAACUUUUAUCACAAAAUACAAACAAUAAUUAAUUUUUCUGCUCUUUAAUGUGGUGUGGGAUCACUGCAUUCACCUCAAUUCAGACGACAUGUGAAUCAAUCGUAUUUUCCUCUUUUCUUCUAGUCACAGCACAAGAUGACA
This is a long non-coding RNA of Carassius gibelio (silver crucian carp), 1525 nucleotides long. RefSeq lists it as uncharacterized. The record is from RefSeq and is a predicted model, not a curated record. The transcript is spliced from 5 exons. Lineage: Eukaryota; Metazoa; Chordata; Actinopteri; Cypriniformes; Cyprinidae.